Non-coding RNA from Podarcis lilfordi (Lilford's wall lizard), 1544 nucleotides. The record is from the annotation of a GenBank genome assembly. NCBI's taxonomy places the organism in Eukaryota, Metazoa, Chordata, Lepidosauria, Squamata, Lacertidae.
GGCUGGCUCUCUAGAGCCGAAUCCCCUCCCUCUGUGCCCAGUCCCUUGCGGGCGGCAUCUUUUGUCUCUUGUCUCCUCUACGCGCUGCCCGUGUUUCCCUCCUGGGAAGAAUCCGGUGAGUCUCCUCUCUCUUCCCCCUUGGGGUGCCCAUGGGAGAAGGGGGUCCCGGGGCUGCAGGGGGAGACCCCCAAGUCUGGGAGCAGAGAGUCCUGCCCCCCCCAUUCCCGUCUGCCAAGCCUGGGAGGGGGCGAGUUUCCAGGUGGUCUGCAGCUCUGCUCUUCCUUAGCAUCCUCUUUGGGGAAGGAGGGAGGGGUCUGGGGGGGAGAGGGCAUGCCCAGAAUGCCCCUUCCAGUGGAGGAGCCCCUGCCAGGCCGGCCUUUGCUCCUGGCAGAGCCUUUCCCCCUGCCAGAUCCUCCUCCAGAUCAGCUCAGGUCUCCAGCCCAGAGCCUCAAGGGAAGCCUCUCUGGGCAGGGGCAACGCCUGGGGCUCCUCCGUGGAGAAAAGGGGAGAGCCAGAGGGCUGAGCUGGCUGCACUGGGCUUGCCAAUGCAGGGAGGAGAAGGACGGGGCUCUGGGUGGCAGGUCUGCCAACUUUUCUCUCUCUGAUCCCAGAGUGAGCUUUCAAGGAUGUUCCCCAUCCUGGAGUUUCUCUGCAGCUGCUGCUAUUGCAGAAUGUUUUAGUUACAUUAAACUUGUAAUUUUCACAGUGCGUAGGUAAAACUGGAACUCCAACCCGCAGGAGCCAGGGAUUGGACAGACUUUUCUAAAGGGAACUAAGAAAAUCUAUACGGAAUAUAUGGCAAGCAUGAUUGUGAAUAAUGCUCUCUUAGAAAAAUGUAAGAUACAGUAGGGGACAUUUAUUUAUGUAUUAUCAAGAAGAAUAAAGCAAGGAUAAAAGACACCUACUCAUAGAAUCACAGAGUUGGAAGAGACCACAAGGGCCAUGGAGUCCAACCCCUGCCAAGCAGGAAACACCAUCAGAGCAUUCCUGACAUAUGGUUGUCAAGCCUCUGCUUAAAGACCUCCAAAGAAGGAGACUCCACCACACUCCUUGGCAGCAAAUUCCACUGUCAAACAGCUCUUACUGUCAGGAAGUUCUUCCUAAUGUUUAGGUGGAAUCUUCUCUCUUGUAGUUUGGAUCCAUUGCUCCGUGUCCGCUUCUCUGGAGCAGCAGAAAACAACCUUUCUCCCUCCUCUAUGUGACAUCCUUUUAUAUAUUUGAACAUGGCUAUCAUAUCACCCCUUAACCUCCUCUUCUCCAGGCUAAACAUGCCCAGCUCCCUUAGCCGUUCCUCAUAAGGCAUCCUGCACAUGCCCUGGACCACCCGGAUUCUGGGAGGGAAGGAGGACAGCCAGCCAGCCAGGGGGCUGUGCUCGGCUUGCGAAGGGUUAAAUGGAACAGAGCCGGAGUCCUAGAGAGGACAGGAAGUAGAGAGGCGGGGCGGGCUCUCCAGAGCAGAAUCCCUUCCCUCCGUGCCCAGUCCCGUCUUUUGUCUCUUGUCUCCUCCCCGCGCUGCCUCGGUUUCCCUCCUGGGAAGAAUCCGG